This 385-nucleotide ribosomal RNA is filed under the name uncultured soil bacterium. Its description in RNAcentral is "bacterial SSU rRNA". It matches the Rfam family "Bacterial small subunit ribosomal RNA", at positions 26 to 399 of the family's 1533-position model. The record is from RNAcentral.
AGGACGAACGCUGGCGGCGUGCUUAACACAUGCAAGUCGAACGAGAUCCAUUCAGUAGCAAUACUGAAGAAGAUCUAGUGGCGAACGGGUGCGUAACACGUGAGGAACUUGUCCCGGUCUCUGGGAUAACAGUUGGAAACGACUGCUAAUACCGGAUGACGUCGGAACUUCGCAUGGAGUACUGACGAAAGGGUUACUGGAUCGGGAGAGCCUCGCGGCCUAUCAGCUUGUUGGUGGGGUAAUGGCCUACCAAGGCAUCGACGGGUAGCUGGUCUGAGAGGAUGAUCAGCCACACUGGGACUGAGACACGGCCCAGACUCCGUACGGAGGCAGCGAGUGGGGAAUCGUUGCACAAUGGGACGAAAGCCUGAGUGCAGCAACGCCG